Molecule: long non-coding RNA, 700 nt
Filed under: Equus caballus (horse)
Lineage: Eukaryota; Metazoa; Chordata; Mammalia; Perissodactyla; Equidae
Description: lncRNA (ENSECAG00000052365.1)
Source: RNAcentral
CUUUGGGAAAGGCACGAGGCUUUUUGCAGUUGGGGUUUGAACGUUUCCAAAUAUGCUGACUCUAUUCCUGUCCUGCCUCCCACGCUUCUCUCCUGGUCUCUCUGGCCCUGCUUUCUCUUUUUGGCCUGAGACCCCAGCUUGACAAGAUCCAGAAAAGUCUCCUUUCCGACAGCCAUUCUGCAGGAUUCCAGCAGGCCCCGCCUCCUGCCCCUGUUGCUAGGCAGAUUCCCCUGUUGCUAGGCCACCACUGCUUCUUCCCUGCCUCAGAAAGAGGCACAAAUUCCCGGUGACCCACUCAACCGUCUACCUAGCCAUAUGCUGACAAGACAAGUGGGUCCUAAACACCUACUAUAUGUGAACCCCCAUGCCCAGUGUAGACCAGUUCCAAAUGGGAGAAGAGGCAGCAAACUGGGGUGUCAGACACAGAGAAAGGAAACAGGGCAUAUUGGGGAGACGGCAACCACAGCAAGUAGAACAAUCGCUUGUGACUGGAGCAUCCAUCACGGGCCGAGGUCCUGUGGCAGCCUGGCCCGGAAGAGCCGCCACCGUCCCUGCUGCCUUCACCGCGGCCUGCACUUUAUUAGAAUUUAUACGUUGCCCCGAUUGAGGGGGAAAAUAAUUAACACCCCUACAAAUAUAUCGUAAACAAAAUAUUUAUUAGAAAUAAAUAACUCAUUUAUUUUACAUAUUUCAUUUCAAC